UACAGAGGUCUCAAGCGUUGUUCGGAUUCACUGGGCGUAAAGCGCACGUAGGCGGCUUUCUAAGUCAGGGGUGAAAUCCUGGAGCUCAACUCCAGAACUGCCUUUGAUACUGGAGAGCUUGAGUCCGGGAGAGGUGAGUGGAACUCCGAGUGUAGAGGUGAAAUUCGUAGAUAUUCGGAAGAACACCAGUGGCGAAGGCGGCUCACUGGCCCGGUACUGACGCUGAGGUGCGAAAGCGUGGGGAGCAAACAGG
This 253-nucleotide ribosomal RNA is filed under the name uncultured bacterium. Its description in RNAcentral is "partial 16S ribosomal RNA". It matches the Rfam family "Bacterial small subunit ribosomal RNA", at positions 524 to 776 of the family's 1533-position model. The record is from RNAcentral.